AGCAAAUACGUCGCACCAGCUGGAUCAAGAUCGGUUGCUGUCUCUGCUGUUGCUGCUGACCCUGAUAGACCCCUCUGGUUCCCUGGUAGUACCCCUCCUCCAUGGCUCGAUGGCAGGUCAGUCAUAAUCAAAUAUGACUCCACUUCCAUUCAUUGUUCUGGUGGAGCUAAUUUCAAACUUAAUUUUUGCUAUGCAGCCUCCCCGGGGACUUUGGUUUCGACCCUCUUGGCCUUGGUAAGCCAAAAUCAUAAUCUUGGUAGUUCCUUGAAAUCAUAUCUUUCUUCUCUAUGAUAUAGCAUACUUAUUCUAAUUGAGUAAUAUCAAGGAUUUAACCUAUCUACGACUAUCAGUGUAUAACACUUUAUACAAGUCUUAAGUCUAGUGUUGCUAAAUCCACAUUUUAUGGAUGGUUAGUUACCUGUAGCUAUCUUUCAAAUGACUAGAUAUUGUUUUACACUCUGAAAUAACAACUGUUACUGAUCACUGACAGCAUCUGACCCGGAGAGCUUGAAAUGGA
Molecule: long non-coding RNA, 517 nt
Filed under: Nicotiana tabacum (common tobacco)
Lineage: Eukaryota; Viridiplantae; Streptophyta; Magnoliopsida; Solanales; Solanaceae
Description: long non-coding RNA (NTAB_LNC003426)
Source: RNAcentral